CUUCUAGAAUUCUGCUUUAUUUUGGGGCUAUUAACACGCAGUACUUGAUUUCAUAACAAUUUCUAAGCUGAUUCUGGUUUGUGAACCACAUUUGGAAACAUUGGAUCAGAAUUCUCUUUGGGCUGGGAAAAGACGAGUUCAGCUCCUGCUAAUGUACCUGCAAAAGCAGUGGAUCAUGACCCAACUACUAGAGCCCUUGCACCCAUGUGAUAGUUCCAGAAGAAGCUCCUGGCUCCUGAUUUCAGAUGGGCCCAGCUCUGGCUGUUACAGACAUUUGUGGAGUGAACCAGCACAUGAAAGAGAUAUACAAAGAACUAAAUGAGAAGGUAUGGGCACUGCUACUGUGACUCAGUUGGCGUCAUGCAUCACCAUGAUCAAUUUCUGCUUCUGCUUCCAAUCCAGCUCCCUGCUAAUGCUCCUGAAUAACAAAUGGCUCAAGUAUAAAACCAUUUCAUCCUCAGAGGAUGGAAUGAUAUUCCUAGUUCCUGGCCUUAGCUUUGGCGUAGCCCAGCGUUGGGUGUUACAGGCAUUUGGCUGUGACCACAAAUUCUGAACACAACCUAAGCCACAAAAAUGAACACUGCUAUAUAUACAAAGAUUAUAUCAGAAAAAUCUCUUAUCCAGUUCACAGAGCUGGAAAGUAAACUUCUAAAACUCCCUCAGGGCGAGACAUCACAUAGAUCAAAAUAGCAUACCACAGGAGCUAGAACUCUGAGGAAGAGGGGCCUUCUUGGCUGAUUGUGGAAGCCGCUUUCAGGGGGAUGGAACACAUCAUUGUUUUAGACUCCCAGGAUACUCCUAGGACUUAGCAACUGAUGUGGGAGUAGUUACCAAUUGUGUCCAAGAGUCAAUAAGUGAAGCCCAGAUUUCUAGACAAAAGACAGAAGGAGAGCCCUAACAAACCAAAAGAAGUAGAAACACUAAGUGAGUAUGUGGGAAAAUGACUAUUAACCUUGUAUUCAAAGCCCUACACAUUCUCUUGAUUUGAAUGGGAAAAUAGAAGCAGCAGCAAGUCAAAGAUGCAUGAGGAAUCAAGUGUAAAUGUCACUUAGAAAAUAUAAUUAGAUGUAAGAAAAAAAUUCACCAGAUUAGCUCAAUUGAAAUGAAAAAGAAAAGAAACAGUGAACUUGAAGAUAGAUCAAUAGAAAUCAUUCAGUGUGUGUACAAAGGAAAACAUGAAAACCAGAAACAAAUUCUCAGGACUCGCUAGUAAAUGAACAAAGGACGAAAUUUUCAUUUGAUAGGCAUAUCAGUAGAAAUGAAACAAAAAAUAUAGUGCUGAAAAUAUUUACAAAUUUGCCUGAUAAUUUUCUAAAUUUGAUAAAAGAUCUAAAUCUAUAAAUUUGCAAAUCUCAGAGACCCACAAAUAAAGUAAAUUAUCUGAUUUUUUAUUUAACUAUCAAGAUUUUUUGACUGCCUCUACAUAAUGAUAAAACUGUUGAAGACUAAGAUGGGCAACCUAUCCUACAAGCAAGCAUAAUAAAAGUAAACAUGUCCUGAAAAUGUUUUGAGUGAAUACAGAUUUCUUUUUUUCAAAAAAUAUAUUUAUUUAUUUUAUUUGAAAGUCGGAGUUACACAGAGAUAGAAGGAGAGGCAGAGAGAGAAAGAGGUCUUCCUUCUGCUGGUUCACUCCCCAGAUGGCCACAAUGGCCAGAGCUGUGCCAAUCUGAAGCCAGGAACCAGGAGCUUCUUCUGGAUCUCCCACUUGAGUGCAGGGGCCCAAGGACUUGGGCCAUCUUCUGUUACUUUCCCAGGCCAUAGCAGAGAGCUGGAUCAGAAGUGGAGCAGCCAGAACCCAAACUGGCACCCAUAUGGGAUGCUGGCACUGUAGGCAGCAGCUUUACCCACUCUGUGAAUACAGAUUUCUGACAGGCACUUAGAGAGAAAAAAUGGGCAUAGUAUUUUAAAGUGCUGAGGUAAAAGUCUAUAGCAAAUGGAACUUCACUGAAGGAAUGAAGGUGAAAUAAAAACAUUUUCAGUUGAAGAAAAUCUGAGGGAAUACUUUACUAUCAUAUUUGCCCUUAAAGGAUGGGUACUGCAAGAAAGAUCAAGACCGAAUAGAAAUAAUGCUAGUCAGAAACUUGGAAUGUUGAUUAUGUGCCAAGGGCAAUGGCUUGGUAAAUAUCUGGGUAAAUUAUUUACCUCUUGACUUUUUUGCAAAGCAGUUGAUGAUUAAAACAAAAAUUAUGGCACUACCUGACUUACUUGUCAAUCUACAUAUAGGUAAAUUUUAGAAAACUAGCAUGUACAAGGGCUUAGAAAAUAGGCUUUCUGCAUGCUUCAUUGAUUUGUAGGAUGUUGUAUGUAAGUAUAUUGUGAAAUGUGACUAUGCAUGUAUAGUUAUUAAAUCAAUUCUAUAAAAAUGUAAGGAGAUAAAGUCACAAUUACAUAUCUUAAAAUAUAUUUCUAUAAACACUCAAAUAAAACAAGAAAGAAUAAAAAUCAGAUGAAACAAAUAAAAGCAAAUGAGGAAAAGUAUAAAACUGAUUCUGAACACUCUCAUAAUGAGAUUUAAUUGUGUAAAUAUAAAUGCUAACUGUCUAAUGUGUCUGUAUUCCACAUCAGAAUGGCAGGGGCCAAUUUUUGGCUCCCACUCCUGAAUUCAGCUUCCCACCAAUGCAGACUUUGAGAAGCAGUAAUGAUUGCUAAAAUACUUGGGUUCUUGGAUUGUGUUCCAGGAUCUGGGACCCAAGCCCUGCCCAGUUCCUGCUAUUGCGGAUAGUUUGUGAAUAAGCCAGCGGAUGAAAAUUCUUUCUUUCUCUCUCCCUUUCUCUCUCUCUCUCUCUUUCUCUCUCUCUCUCUCACUCUCACUCUCUCUUGCUCUCUCACUCUUUCUCUCUAAUGAAUAUAUAUUAUUAAAUUCAAGGUACCAGGUGGAAAGAUGAGGCAGUACUCAUGUUCCUUUGCCCCAAAGAUAGGCCUACACAGGUAGUUUCAACACUCAUGAUGUGAAAAAUUUGAAGAGAAAUCUCUAAUAAAAUCUACAAACUAAGCUUGUAUAACAAUUUAACUUCUAUAAAGACUUUAAUAUUAAAAUUGAAACCCAUUUGGUUUUAAAUGGUAUUGUACUUGAAUGUAUCUAAGACAUAGGCCCCACUAACUACUAUGCAGAAGCUAGUGUACAUUCAUACAGCAUAGUUACAUGUUAGGUACAUGGGUAGGUAAUCAGUGUCAACUAAGUAAGCCAAAAAAAUAGAUAAUGUUUUCCAGUUUGCCAGUGGAUAGGUAUACCUGACACAGUCCAUAAAGUAUUAAGGAAAAAUAUUUAAAUCUAUACAUAUACAAAUAUAUACAUAUCUAUAUGUAAAUUUUUAUUGAAGCAGAUUUUAAUCAAAAUAAAUUAUGAAAAGAGUACAACUGAUGGACCAGGUGGGCAUCUCAGUAAAGAACAGAGAGCCCAGUCUGCAUUCAGACUGAAAUUUUUAAUGGAUUCAGUAUGGGCCCUCUCUCUCUUCCCCGUUUGGUAUGUGUCACUGGGUGGAGGGCUUUUUGGGUGUGUAAUUCCCCAAAAUUCCUAAAGAACCUCAUAGUAGCCCCUUUGAUAAAAGGUAGGAGAGACCACAUUCAGCUGUCUCCUUCCCCAAAAGGCUAGGACCCAAUGAGCCAGGUUAUUGAAAAAUGACAAAACUUUUGAUAUGUAAAUGCUGGUUUGUCACUACAUUUCUUCCCUCAUUCAACCACAUAAUGGUUUAAUUUGCAGUAUUAAUAUAUUCCAAUCAAGACCAGUUGGCCAUUUUAUUAACAACUAAUUUAUUGAUUUCUGUCAGUAAAUGGGUAUGAUCAAAUAGCCAAAUGAUUAUAAUUUUGCUCAUUAUUUGUGUUUUUGAGGCAUUAGACAUGUUUAAAUAAUUAUUUGUAGUAUAUUACAUAUAUUGGAAAUAUCUUUCGAUAGUACCCUUUAUAAAAUGACUACAAACAUAGUAGUAUUGUUUGUGAGACAUAGACCAUUUUGUUAAGAAUGGUACUUGUAAGAGUUGACUAUUUGGGAAUUUCUUGAAGAAUAUGUUGAGGUGAAAGGAAUUAGUUAGAAUGGAAAUGGUAGUAAAGUAGAAAGGACUAAGGACCCCUUUGGCCAUAUGAAAAUUUUCUUAACCUAGCUAGGAAACCAGCCUGGGCUAGGAAGAAAGUUUAAUAAUGGACACAUAAUGAAUUUUGUUGGUGAGUCAGGAGAAAAGUAGGCUCUGAUGUCAAGGCUACAUGGAAGGCCAGGUGGCUGUGGUUGUCUGUGACCAGUCUCAGGAGUAUUGUGAGGAUAAACAGCUCCCCUCACA
Molecule: non-coding RNA, 4271 nt
Organism: Oryctolagus cuniculus (rabbit)
Lineage: Eukaryota; Metazoa; Chordata; Mammalia; Lagomorpha; Leporidae
Source: RefSeq, a predicted model, not a curated record